AUAUGUUGAGAUCUGGGACCAUACCCACAAAGCGUCUCAGAGUACAACAUUGGUCGUAUAAGUGCUGAGAAUAAACACAUUUGACACUUAUGGGUAUAAAUUAAAGCUAUGCAUGAAGUCUCUAGUCCCACCUAGUCGGUAGAUAUUUAGGACACCUGGUGAGCUGUCCUAAGUAGUUAAGAGUUAACAGCAGCUGUCCUAAGUAGUUAAGAGUUAACAGCAGCUGUCCUAAGUAGUUAAGAGUUAACAGCAGCUGUCCUAAGUAGUUAAGAGUUAACAGCAGGUGUCUUGAUAAUACUAUAGAAUAAUGCAGUGAGUCAGUGGUUCCUGCUCCACAUGUAAUUGCUUUGUAGUAGUUAAAAAUAAUGUUUCACAUUUCUAUAUGAUCAAUCGAUAAAUAAUGUAGACCUACAUGCAACAGUAUGUCUUGUGCUUUUGGCAAUGAUUUAUGUAUAAUAAUUAUGUAAACAAGUGAUACGUAUGUCUGUGGCGGAAGGUAGCCUCGUGGUUAGAGUGUAGAGGUGGCAGGUAGCCUUGUGGUUAGAGUGUAGAGGUGGCAGGUAGCCUCGUGGUUAGAGUGUAGAGGUGGCAGGUAGCCUCGUGGUUAGAGUGUAGAGGUGGCAGGUAGCCUCGUGGUUAGAGUGUAGAGGUGGCAGGUGGCCUCGUGGUUAGAGUGUAGAGGUGGCAGGUGGCCUCGUGGUUAGAGUGUAGAGGUGGCAGGUAGCCUCGUGGUUAGAGUGUAGAGGUGGCAGGUAGCCUCGUGGUUAGAGUGUAGAGGUGGCAGGUGGCCUCGUGGUUAGAGUGUAGAGGUGGCAGGUAGCCUCGUGGUUAGAGUGUAGAGGUGGCAGGUGGCCUCGUGGUUAGAGUGUAGAGGUGGCAGGUAGCCUCGUGGUUAGAGUGUAGAGGUGGCAGGUGGCCUCGUGGUUAGAGUGUAGAGGUGGCAGGUAGCCUCGUGGUUAGAGUGUAGAGGUGGCAGGUAGCCUCGUGGUUAGAGUGUAGAGGUGGCAGGUGGCCUCGUGGUUAGAGUGUAGAGGUGGCAGGUAGCCUCGUGGUUAGAGUGUAGAGGUGGCAGGUAGCCUCGUGGUUAGAGUGUAGAGGUGGCAGGUAGCCUCGUGGUUAGAGUGUAGAGGUGGCAGGUAGCCUCGUGGUUAGAGUGUAGAGGUGGCAGGUAGCCUCGUGG
Molecule: long non-coding RNA, 1180 nt
Organism: Oncorhynchus keta (chum salmon)
Lineage: Eukaryota; Metazoa; Chordata; Actinopteri; Salmoniformes; Salmonidae
Exons: 3
Source: RefSeq, a predicted model, not a curated record